ACAACACGCUUAACGAGUGAAAUCACAAAUUCUAUUACUUCAAAUUAUAAAGACACACUUGGUACAUCAAAUAUUUCGUGGCCGAAGGUCCCAAGGCUGUCUUUAGUUAGCAGGAUACAAGUGAAUGAAAGAAACAAUAUGCAAACGCUGGCCUUCGCCACGAUCAAGCACGAGCAUAUGAUUUUCUUUGGAAUCCAUCAUCACGCCAUAAGAAGGGUUAUGAAGGACCACAUUACAGGCAUACAAAUGGAUGUCUAAGGAAAGACAUGAACCAUCAAGCUAACAAGAAUUUUCUACACUUGCCUCGAGAUAUUCAGCCUUCACCAUCAUCUGAACUUGUUUGAAUGUCUUUCAUAAUGCAAGCAACUGUCAAGCUUUUUUGUUCUGAUCAAUCUGCUCUAAUGUGAUCUUGGAGCUGCAGGCAGAUGUCAAUAGUUUGGAACAACACAUAAUUGGUAGCUACCGAUUUGUCAGAAUGGUCACACACACACACACAUUAUGAUCAUACUAAGACAGGUUCACGUCGAGGCAACAAAACUGUACUGAUUUCUCCAAUCCAGAUUCCAGCAUAUUACCCAUCUAUGUUUUUAUUUUUCCAGAUCACUUAAUUAACUAUUGUUAGAUUCCAUGAGCCAUGUCAGUUUAGCCAUCAUAUUUCCAUCUAUGAAUCAUUCUGACACUUAUAUAGAGGGACUCAAUGUUAACAGUAGUUCCAUUAAAAUUAAGCAAAGCAACAAAGAUUACUAGAUGCCAUCUCACCUGCAAGGUGUCUUAAGCAAAGUAACAGUCAGGAACCUUAAAUCUUUAACAUCAGCUGAACGAAAGACCCAUGGACAAUAAGGCUCGCUUAGCUGCAUCUCUCAUGGCAAUCAGUUCUGGGAAACUAUUCGCUCACACAACCACCGUGACUACUCCACUGAAGUAUGCACCACGAAAAGGGCAGGGCGCAUGUAGUGGCUCGUCACACAUAAGACAAUGUAGUCACAGCCUGAUCCACUGCAUGCCAGAGCGGCUUGCGACAAGGGUGACAAAAACUCACCAGUGGUGAUGAAGAUUGGCGGCAACUAGAUCCAUAGAAGCUGACUUGGGUCCGGCAGCAUAUAGUGGCAAAUUUCUUUCCUUGAAUAACCUUGGAAACAUUAGUUCAUAACCACGAUAAUUUAUGAAUUCUGAGAUGAAAAUGAAAACGCAAAUAUUUUGCUAAAGCUAGGCAGACCCAGACUAGUUGCAGGGAAUUGUGGUUAAAGAAAAAUAACAAAUGCUUGUUCACCAUAAGCUUGUGAAAAACUUAGCACCAGAAGCUAUAACUAUUGGGCAGAAUCACACACCACAAUGAGGGAAAUUUGAGAUGGUAAGGCAAAAGAAAAUGACCUUUAUUCAGUUGGUCCUGAGCCAUAUAACCAUGUGCCCUAAUUCUUCAACGUUGGGAUAAUUUGCAUUGCUAAUAAGAAUCUAUCAGCACAACUGCACCACAAGGAAAUGCAGACUAGCAUGCAUGCAAGAAGCUCCAGAAAAAAAACAAUAGAUCAUGUGGCAGCUUCAUUGCAGCAAUCUGUCCAACAAGCACAACCUGUUCCACUGCGAGCCGGCACAGCUUGCAACAAGCUUGAGGAGAAAUAAAAUUCAUGCACUUUAUUUUAAACUUCAUAUAAUGGAAAUUCAUAUCCAUGUUUCUCCAACUUCAAGUUGA
RNAcentral lists this long non-coding RNA (1690 nucleotides) under Setaria italica (foxtail millet). RNAcentral describes it as "long non-coding RNA (SITA_LNC002502)". The record is from RNAcentral. Lineage: Eukaryota; Viridiplantae; Streptophyta; Magnoliopsida; Poales; Poaceae.